UAAGACUCUCGGCAAUGGAUAUCUUGGCUCUUGCAUCGAUGAAGAGCGCAGCGAAAUGCGAUACGUGGUGCGAAUUGCAGAAUCCCGUGAACCAUCGAGUUUUUGAACGCAAGUUGCGCCUGAGGCCAUCUGGUUGAGGGCACGUCCGCCUGGGCGUCAUGC
RNAcentral lists this ribosomal RNA (162 nucleotides) under Corybas carsei. RNAcentral describes it as "5.8S ribosomal RNA". It matches the Rfam family "5.8S ribosomal RNA". Rfam says of the family: 5.8S ribosomal RNA (5.8S rRNA) is a component of the large subunit of the eukaryotic ribosome. It is transcribed by RNA polymerase I as part of the 45S precursor that also contains 18S and 28S rRNA. Functionally, it is thought that 5.8S rRNA may be involved in ribosome translocation. The record is from RNAcentral. Lineage: Eukaryota; Viridiplantae; Streptophyta; Magnoliopsida; Asparagales; Orchidaceae.